RNA transcript from Alexandromys fortis (reed vole), 2514 nucleotides. RefSeq lists it as uncharacterized. Lineage: Eukaryota; Metazoa; Chordata; Mammalia; Rodentia; Cricetidae. The transcript has 3 exons. The record is from RefSeq and is a predicted model, not a curated record.
AUGUGCACGCACGCACGCGCACGGGAGGGGGGAACUGGGGGUGGACGGGCCUACCUGCCCGCACACGGGCCCCGCCCCCUCCGCCUACCGCGCGCAGACCCGCCCCUGCCUGCCGCGCGCACGCGCCCUGAACAGAUUCCGCACCUAGCCAGCAGAGCACACGCGCGCGCGCCCAAACCUGUCUCUCCCUGUGGCGCGCGCACCCGCGCCCACCUGCGGGCGCGCCGACCGUACCACGGGUCCUCGGCACGCGCGCGCAUGCACGCGCGCCGGGCGGCCUCCCUCCGAGCCCCCCCCCCCCGUUCCCGCCUGCCGCGCGCACGCGCGCCCUCGGCUUCCCAGGCGUCGCAGCCCGCGCCGCCACGCUCUGGAAGCGAAGGACAGCGGAGCAAGCGCGCCACGGCGAGCGCGGGCCGUGGGAAGCUGCUCGGCGGGUCUGGCGCUCACUCGCCUGGCGAUGGCGGCUUGGCUAGCUUUCACAAUGCCAGGCAGAGCCGGACUGCCCACCCAUGCUGCGACGAGGCGAGCGCGCGCGCAGGUUGGUUGUGGACCACAGAUUGGGAAACUGAGGCCUGGGUCACUCAGGGUCCCUGUUCCCUGUCUAGCCCGGGUCUGCGCGCCUCACGAGGCCCUGCUGUGAGAAAUGAGCCGCCACCUGAAGACUGCACGGGGCAGGGAGCGAGCACCGAGGUCGGUGCUGCCGGACAGUGGUCCUGCUCUUUCUUACUCAUCAUCUACUGCAGAACAGCAUCUUAUUCAAGGGCAUCGACUUGACUAAGUUCCUUUUGAGAAAUCUUGGAAAGAAAGUCUUCAUGAUGAGCAGAGGGGUGGGCACAUUGGAGUGAUGUCUGCUGAAGGUUUCCCCAGCACUAGCAGGACUGAAGCAAUUGCCUACGUAAUGUACCACAUAUGGACGUAGAGAUGCCAGCUUCGGAUGCCGCGAUGCAUCUUCAGACUUUCCACGCAGUAGAUCAGAGAGGGUAGCGCGGUGAAAUCAAAGGGCCCGUGAUCUCGAUGCUUCCUUUCUCCAUUUCACAUGCUGAAAUAUUAAUAAAGUAGAAAAUCAAAGGAGAGCAAUUUAGGGAUUCUCGUGUCUGACUGCAGCUCGUUUCUGUGGGUCCAAUUUUAGACAAAGAAAAGAGCCAUAAUGGAAAGGAGCGUGGUGAGGGAAACAAGAAUGACAAAGGCACAGAAGCAAAAUCAAAGGGUUGGCAUCCAAACACUUUGUCUCUGUAAGGCAUUGUUCAAGCCCUCCCUCGCCCAGCAUCUCCAGCCGCGGCUGGGCAGCGCUGUCAGGAACUGGCAGCCUCCAAGCGUUGCAGUGUGCAGCUCGCUCUGUUUAUUGCCAGCUGGAGGACAGCUUCGGUUUGGAACACUCUGGUUCGAGAUGACUCUUCUGGGCUGUCUCAGAGCCAGCUUCCUCAGGGGGACCGUAGAGUUUCUUCUUCUUCUUCUUCCUGCCUUCUCUGGGACCCUCUCGGUCAAUGAGAUUGCCUUCUCCCUAGAAACCAGCCAGGAGACUGCAGAAGGAAAGCUAAAACAAACAAACAAACAAACAAAACCCAAGUCUUUUUAGUCCCUACUGGUAAGGGCACGGUGGAGUGACACUCCUGCUGUAAGGACGUGGCAAAGUCUUUUUGGAGCUGGAAUGUAGAAAAAGGCAAGACAGAGAGAAUGGAAAUGCUCGCUGGAGGCUGAAGGGCAGCCCUGGAUUAAUGAAUUUCCUUGGUGCCAGUAACAGAGCUCUGAGUCAAACAGUACGCAGCAAAGAGACUUGAUUUACUCCUGCAACCCCCAGAACUAAAGGCACGUGCACGCAGAUGAAUUGUACAAUGGUAUUGGGUUCUUUCUCUGUUUGCAGGCCGGCUGUCCCCGUGCUGGUUUAUUCUCAAGCAGGCUCCCCCCUCUUAGACCAAACAGGACAGGAGCGGCACCAAAUGACCUUCCAACUAGUCUCAGCAUCUCAUCUGAAGGCAUUCACCUGCUCCUGUCACCGUCUCAGAACCCAGCUGAGAUCAUGGGAAUAGCAAUGGGUGUGGUUAGGAUUUUCUAAAGGGAAACGGAGCCUUCACUGCCAGAAGGGGAGAGGGUGAAACCCCAACAUCAUCACUUGUCUGUUGGCCCUUGGGUCCAUCCUUUGGUUUGUUUUGAAGCAGAUGUUUCACCGGGCUAUCCCUACAGCUACUGGCUCCUCUACACAGGGCCCAGACCUGCAGUGUCUCCUCUGGAAAACAUCUGAUUCCGUCUCCGUUCACACAAGCACUUGAGAGUACUCCACUCUGAAGUUCCAAUAGGUCAUCAGCAGACGUGGUAAGUUCUUCUGAGUGUGCUGACACAGGGACGUGAAUGCUCACAAUGAACCAAGCCGCAUCCCCUCUACAGCGCCAAGAGAGAGCAAGGAUGUUCAGGCAAGCUUCCCUAUAGAGACUCGCAGCUAGUGGGGGAAGCAGCCUAAUCAUUUUUUUUUCUUUUUCUGUAGAGGUAGCACCUUCAUUUUUCUGAGCACUUUCCCAC